RNAcentral lists this ribosomal RNA (630 nucleotides) under uncultured bacterium. RNAcentral describes it as "bacterial SSU rRNA". It matches the Rfam family "Bacterial small subunit ribosomal RNA", at positions 54 to 681 of the family's 1533-position model. The record is from RNAcentral.
CAUGCAAGUCGAACGGAGUUACUUUGGUGAAGUUUUCGGAUGGAUCUGAUUUAACUUAGUGGCGGACGGGUGAGUAAUGCGUGAGCAACCUGCCCUUCAGAGGGGGACAACAGUUGGAAACGACUGCUAAUACCGCAUAAUGUAUUCGGAAGGCAUCUUCUGGAUACCAAAGGAGAAAUCCGCUGAUGGAUGGGCUCACGUCUGAUUAGCUAGUUGGUGAGGUAACGGCUCACCAAGGCUGCGAUCAGUAGCCGGACUGAGAGGUUGAACGGCCACAUUGGGACUGAGAUACGGCCCAGACUCCUACGGGAGGCAGCAGUGGGGAAUAUUGGGCAAUGGGCGAAAGCCUGACCCAGCAACGCCGCGUGAAGGAAGAAGGCCUUCGGGUUGUAAACUUCUUUUAAGAGGGACGAAGAAGUGACGGUACCUCUUGAAUAAGCCACGGCUAACUACGUGCCAGCAGCCGCGGUAAUACGUAGGUGGCGAGCGUUAUCCGGAUUUACUGGGUGUAAAGGGCGCGUAGGCGGGAAUGCAAGUCAGAUGUGAAAUCCAAGGGCUCAACCCUUGAACUGCAUUUGAAACUGUAUUUCUUGAGUGUCGGAGAGGUUGACGGAAUUCCUAGUGUAGCGG